AUGAAACAGGGUAGAUGCUGUGGUGGGGUCCAGGCAGCUUUGUGGAAAAGUCUCCAAUGGUCUGGUAGGAUGAGAAGGUCCAGGGGUAGUUUGGAAUACGAGGAGAAGCAUCACCUCCCAAGACGGUAAACCUACUGAAAAGACUAUUCAAAUUCCAGAAGGAC
RNAcentral lists this long non-coding RNA (164 nucleotides) under Anas zonorhyncha (Eastern spot-billed duck). RNAcentral's name for it is "lncRNA (ENSAZOG00000000861.1)". The record is from RNAcentral. Lineage: Eukaryota; Metazoa; Chordata; Aves; Anseriformes; Anatidae.